UACGUAGGGGGCAAGCGUUGUCCGGAUUUAUUGGGCGUAAAGCGCUCGCAGGUGGUUCAUUGCGUCGUGUGUGAAAGUCCCCGGCUCAACUGGGGAGGGUCGUGCGAAACGGGUGAACUAGAGGCCAGUAGGGGGAUGCGGAAUUCCGGGUGUAGUGGUGGAAUGCGUAGAGAUCCGGAGGAACACCAGCGGCGAAGGCGGCAUCCUGGACUGGUCCUGACACUCAGGAGCGAAAGCGUGGGGAGCGAACCGG
This 253-nucleotide ribosomal RNA is filed under the name uncultured bacterium. RNAcentral's name for it is "partial 16S ribosomal RNA". It matches the Rfam family "Bacterial small subunit ribosomal RNA", at positions 524 to 776 of the family's 1533-position model. The record is from RNAcentral.